This 514-nucleotide ribosomal RNA is filed under the name uncultured bacterium. Its description in RNAcentral is "bacterial SSU rRNA". It matches the Rfam family "Bacterial small subunit ribosomal RNA", at positions 355 to 889 of the family's 1533-position model. The record is from RNAcentral.
UGGGGAAUAUUGCGCAAUGGGGAAAGCCCUGACGCAGCCAUGCCGCGUGAGUGAAGAAGGUCUUCGGAUCGUAAAGCUCUUUCAACGGUGAAGAUGAUGACGGUAGCCGUAGAAGAAGCCCCGGCUAACUCCGUGCCAGCAGCCGCGGUAAGACGGAGGGGGCUAGCGUUGUUCGGAAUUACUGGGCGUAAAGGGCGUGUAGGCGGAUCGGUCAGUCAGUGGUGAAAGCCCGGCGUCACCAUGGGAAUUGCCUCUGAUACUGCCGAUCUAGAGUCCGGGAGAGGGUAGUGGAAUUCCCAGUGUAGAGGUGAAAUUCGCAGAUAUCAGGAGGAACACCAGUGGCGAAGGCGCCGCUCUGGGCCGUAACUGACGCUGAGGAGCGAAAGCAUGGGUAGCAAACAGGAUUAGAUACCCUGGUAGUCCACACCGUAAACGAUGAAUGCCAGUCGUCGGGUAGCAUGCUAUUCGGUGACACACCUAACGGAUUAAGCAUUCCGCCUGGGAGUACGGUCGC